GGGUGAUAAAGGCAAACCCGUUGAAAAGCGGAGACGUAAAGCCAUGGGGUCUAAGGUGUGUGAUGCAUAUGACAGCCCGGCUGCCGCC
This 88-nucleotide non-coding RNA is filed under the name Desulfotomaculum sp. Its description in RNAcentral is "c-di-GMP sequence". It matches the Rfam family "c-di-GMP-I riboswitch aptamer". From Rfam's summary of the family: GEMM was predicted in a large-scale screen for bacterial structured RNA regulatory elements. Genes associated with GEMM are involved in a diverse array of functions, including chemotaxis regulation, signal transduction, secretion and chitin. Lineage: Bacteria; Bacillati; Bacillota; Clostridia; Eubacteriales; Desulfotomaculaceae. RNAcentral also lists the same sequence under 1 other name. The record is from RNAcentral.